GGAAAAGAAGUCAGUCUUGGGAAGUACCAUUAACAAAUUUAGUAACAGGCUGGGCUUCAGCCUCCUCUUCCCUUGCCACACUCCACGUAACACAGAAUGCACAAGACACCAAGCCACAUGUGUGAUUUCUCUGGACUCGCACGUGUAGGGCAAGCUGAUGUUCAUUUGUGAAUUGGAUUUCUCAUUUGCGGACUCUUAUCUAUGAUGCAACUAGUUUCCCAGACAUUAUGCUUUGUCUUGGACAGAUGUUGGUGAGUGCCAUGCAAGUGCCCUGGGUCAAAAACGGUUUCUCUUCUCCUCUGCGCCUUGGGUGGAUGCAGGGGGCUACUCAUUUCUCCUGAGCCUUUUCCUUUGACUAUAGAUGACUUACCUGUAUAUUCAGACUCUGAAUUCAAUAAGGUUCCCUUGCCUCGAAUUUGCCAUUUACUUUGGACAUGGAUGGAAGCUUGCAAGCGCAGAGCACCAUACAAUGAAUAUUUUAGAGCACAUUAAUGGUACUGUUAGUAUAGACAGAGGGCCUGCCACAUACACGUUAGGGUUCUCAACAGGCUGUCUGACUUAAUCACAGUGUAUUUAUUUAGGGAUUUGGUUAUAAAACACUUCUAUAGCAACACUGUAGAAUGGACCACUGUAAGGAAAAACACAAAAGCUGGGGCCAGCAGUUUAUCACCUGGAAAUAGCAUGGCUUUGAUAAUUUGACUCAUUAUGAACUCACAGAAAUAGAUCUAUUCUCAGAAAUACAUUUUUAGGGGCGGUGGGUGAGGGACAACAGAGAAAGAGUACAUCCAGGGAGGACGCUGAUCUCUCUGCU
This 811-nucleotide long non-coding RNA is filed under the name Homo sapiens (human). Its description in RNAcentral is "non-protein coding lnc-CLIC6-4:1". Lineage: Eukaryota; Metazoa; Chordata; Mammalia; Primates; Hominidae. The record is from RNAcentral.